Molecule: long non-coding RNA, 585 nt
Filed under: Rattus norvegicus (Norway rat)
Lineage: Eukaryota; Metazoa; Chordata; Mammalia; Rodentia; Muridae
Description: long non-coding RNA NONRATT014447
Source: RNAcentral
CUGACUCGAAGGGGAAAUAAGGAUGAAUUCUUAGGACAAUGAUGCAGAAAUGGCCCGUGUGUCCCGGGCUCCCUCCAGUUGCCCCACUGCUGCUGUUACGGGCAUCUCCCAACAAGACAGCGAUGCCUGUGGGUCAGUAAAGGGGUGAGCCACUCUGCGGAUGCUUUCAGGGAACAACGUCUGCUUUAUUACACGCGAGCAUCCGCUUCCACGGUGGCAGCCUGUCUACUGUGAUUGGUUAGCACAGUACCGCGGACUGGAUGCUCGCACCACCAGGAUCUCUGUGCAGACGCAGCACAUUAAUUGUCCCGGGCCAGCUCCUUCAGCUUCUUCAGCUUCAGCUUCUUCAGCUCCUUCAGCUUCUUCAGCUCCUUCAGCUUCUUCAGCUCCUUCAGCUUCUUCAGCUACUUCAGCUCCUUCAGAAUUCAGUGUUCUGGCUUCUGAGGCAUGGCGCGCCGUGAUUCUUACUUAGACGUACAGCGCGCCAAACAGACUGACUGCCAGGAUAACAUGAAGGACAAAUUGUGUUUGAAAAAUGUUUCUCUCAAAGUUCAAAGGAAAAAGAUGCUUUUACAACUGAGGCAG